AAAUUGAAGAGUUUGAUCAUGGCUCAGAUUGAACGCUGGCGGCAGGCCUAACACAUGCAAGUCGAACGGUAACAGGAAGCAGCUUGCUGCUUCGCUGACGAGUGGCGGACGGGUGAGUAAUGUCUGGGAAACUGCCUGAUGGAGGGGGAUAACUACUGGAAACGGUGGCUAAUACCGCAUAACGUCGCAAGACCAAAGAGGGGGACCUUCGGGCCUCUUGCCAUCAGAUGUGCCCAGAUGGGAUUAGCUUGUUGGUGAGGUAACGGCUCACCAAGGCGACGAUCCCUAGCUGGUCUGAGAGGAUGACCAGCCACACUGGAACUGAGACACGGUCCAGACUCCUACGGGAGGCAGCAGUGGGGAAUAUUGCACAAUGGGCGCAAGCCUGAUGCAGCCAUGCCGCGUGUAUGAAGAAGGCCUUCGGGUUGUAAAGUACUUUCAGCGGGGAGGAAGGUGUUGCGGUUAAUAACCGCAGCAAUUGACGUUACCCGCAGAAGAAGCACCGGCUAACUCCGUGCCAGCAGCCGCGGUAAUACGGAGGGUGCAAGCGUUAAUCGGAAUUACUGGGCGUAAAGCGCACGCAGGCGGUCUGUCAAGUCGGAUGUGAAAU
Molecule: ribosomal RNA, 610 nt
Filed under: Salmonella enterica subsp. enterica serovar Infantis
Lineage: Bacteria; Pseudomonadati; Pseudomonadota; Gammaproteobacteria; Enterobacterales; Enterobacteriaceae
Also listed under: 1 other name
Description: bacterial SSU rRNA
Rfam family: Bacterial small subunit ribosomal RNA
Source: RNAcentral